CUAUCAGGCAUUCAGUCAAGAAGUUAGCAGAUAAUGACGGGAACAGGACAUUAUCUGCAGGAAAAUAAAGCAAGGUGGAAGCAGCUGCUCCGAUGGGAGCUCCCCAAAAGAGUAACCAUUGUGACAACCGUGCAGUGGAGACCUGUCUGUAAAUGCCAGGAACAUUUGCGACGUCAUUCACCGGUUAUGGAAGCCUGAGUUAGUGAAACCUGGCCUGCCACAACGUGGUGAAGAAAGCAAAAGAAAAUAACUGGGAAAGAGGUAUAAAACCUAGCCCCAUAAAACGUUUUUUUGUUCGUUUGUUUGUUUUUUCCAAACAGAAUCUUUCAGAAUCCUGUUGUUCUGGCAGGUAUUUUUUAAUAUUUCCUUCUUACAAAUUUCCUUUUUACAGAUGAUAUGCAUUAUAUUGACAUUAACAAUCAAUCUUAGACACAAGUGAUUGUUUUUAUAAAUAGGAUCUCCUCAAUAUUAGUGAUCCGUUAAAUGUUUCCAGUGAGUCUCUUCUGUAAAUUCAUUUAACAAAUAUUGGACUCCUCAGAGGUUUUGCAUGUUUCACUGUUUCCCAAGGUAAUCCUGUCUGACAGCAUGUAUUCACAAACUCAACCUCUUCAGUUGCUCAAGGCUCAAG
This 628-nucleotide long non-coding RNA is filed under the name Homo sapiens (human). RNAcentral describes it as "non-protein coding lnc-MPHOSPH6-4:1". The record is from RNAcentral. Lineage: Eukaryota; Metazoa; Chordata; Mammalia; Primates; Hominidae.